This 780-nucleotide ribosomal RNA is filed under the name uncultured Peptococcus sp. RNAcentral describes it as "bacterial SSU rRNA". It matches the Rfam family "Bacterial small subunit ribosomal RNA", at positions 28 to 776 of the family's 1533-position model. Lineage: Bacteria; Bacillati; Bacillota; Clostridia; Eubacteriales; Peptococcaceae. The record is from RNAcentral.
GACAAACGCUGGCGGCAUGCCUAACACAUGCAAGUCGAACGGACAGAACAGGGAAGCUCUUCGGAGUGGAACUGGAAAGUUAGUGGCGGAUGGGUGAGUGACGCGUGGACAACCUACCUUGUAAAGGGGAAUAACUUCGAGAAAUCGAAGCUAAUACCCCAUAAUAACCUUGCUUCGCAUGAAGCGAGGAGGAAAGGCGGCCUUAGAGCUGUCGAUAGAAGAUGGGUCCGCGUCUGAUUAGCUAGUUGGUGAGGUAAAGGCUCACCAAGGCGACGAUCAGUAGCCGGCCUGAGAGGGUGAACGGCCACAUUGGGACUGAGACACGGCCCAAACUCCUACGGGAGGCAGCAGUGGGGAAUCUUCCGCAAUGGGCGAAAGCCUGACGGAGCAAUGCCGCGUGAGUGAAGAAGGCCUUCGGGUUGUAAAACUCUGUCCUAGACGAAGAGAGAGUAUUGUAGUAACUGACAAUACUAGGACGGUAGACUAGGAGGAAGCCCCGGCUAACUAUGUGCCAGCAGCCGCGGUAAAACAUAGGGGGCAAGCGUUGUCCGGAAUCACUGGGCGUAAAGGGCGCGCAGGCGGUAAAUUAAGUCAGGUGUGAAAGUUCGGGGCUCAACCCCGUGAUUGCACCUGAUACUGAUAAACUAGAGUGUUGGAGAGGUAAGUGGAAUUCCUAGUGUAGCGGUGGAAUGCGUAGAUAUUAGGAGGAACACCAGUGGCGAAGGCGACUUACUGGCCAAUAACUGACGCUAAGGCGCGAAAGCGUGGGGAGCAAACAGG